UUGCUUUGCACAUGUCGGUCUGUCGGUCUGUCGGUCGGUCGGUCCGCCCACCAGGUGGUUUCCAGAUGAUAACUCAAGAACGCUUGGGCCUAGGAUCAUGAAACUUCAUAGGUAUAUUGAUCAUGACUCGCAGAUGACCCCUAUUGAUUUUGAGGUCACUAGGUCAAAGGUCAAGGUCAUGGUGACCGGAAAUAGUAAAAUGGUUUCCGGAUGAUAACUCAAGAACGCUUAGGCCUAGGAUCAUGAAACUUGAUAGGUAGAUUGAUCAUGACUUGCAGAUGACCCCUAUUGAUUUUCAGGUCACUAGGUCAAAGGUCAAGGUCACAGUGACCCGAAAUAGUAAAAUGGUUUCCGGAUGAUAACUCAAGAAUGCAUACGCCUAGGAUCAUGAAACUUCAUGGGUAGAUUGAUCAUGACUCGCAGAUGACCCCUAUUGAUUUUGAGGUCACUAGGUCAAAGGUCAAGGUCACGGUGACCCGAAAUAGUAGAAUGGUUUUCAGAUGAUAACUCAAGAACGCAUACGCCUAGGAUCAUGAAACUUCAUAGGUAGAUUGAUCAUGACUUGCAGAUUACCCCUAUUGAUUUUGAGGUCACAAGGUCAAAGGUCAAGGUCACGGUGACCAGAAAUAGUAAAAUGAUUUUCAGAUGAUAACUCAAUAACUCUUUUGCCUAGGAUCAUGACACUUCAUAGGUACAUUGAUCGUGACCCGCAGAUGACCCCUAUUGAUUUUCAGGUCACUAGGUCAAAGGUCAAGGUCACAGUGACAAAAAUCGUAUUCACACAAUGGCUGCCACUACAACGGACAGCCCAUAUGGGGGGCAUGCAUGUUUUACAAACAGCCCUUGU
This is a long non-coding RNA of Dreissena polymorpha, 847 nucleotides long. RefSeq lists it as uncharacterized. The record is from RefSeq and is a predicted model, not a curated record. Lineage: Eukaryota; Metazoa; Mollusca; Bivalvia; Myida; Dreissenidae. The transcript is spliced from 3 exons.